CUUACUCGGCAGAGAGGUCAGGAGUGAAGGAAAGAAACCUGGUAAGCCUGCUCAGUUUACCACGGGAACCCAUCCUGGUUGAGGAUUGCCUCUACUGGUGUCAUUUCAGUGUGCCACCCUAAAAAAAGAGGUAAACUGAGACAAGCGCAAGUGACCAGAAAUUGAGUUUAUUCAGGAAAGGUGGAGGAAUUGCAAUUUGGGAAACGCAUGCUUAAGGAGGCUGCAGGCUAGUCCCUUGUGGAUUUGGGUGGGCUGCAUUUAUAGGCAAGGAGUGCAGAAAGGAGGAAGUGCAGCCAGAGCUCAAACAGUAUUCGUAUUGGCUUGAGGAUGGGGAGAGAUUUUUCGUGUCUGCUCAUUGGUCAGGGGAGAAGUCUUGGUCUUCUGUAAAUCAGGCAUUGGCGGGAAAUCAGUUUCACUUCAGUUCCGUUUCACUUCAGUUCCGUUUCCCUGAGGGCGCAUGCGUGAGAUUCGUCCUUUCGUAGCCUCAGGUUCCAUUUUAAAUGGAACCCGCGGGGUUUGUAUCCUCCUGGCGCUCCAGCCCAGAGACUAUCGCUAAUCUGGUAGUCGUUUCUGCAGGUGAAGAAGGAAGACUCUCUCUGCCCGUGUUGUACUCACCGGUGCUUAUGCCAAGACGUCUGUGGAGGGUUUGGGUUGUAGUGCAGGGAUAAGCCUGACAACUGAGAACAGGGAAAAGUGAUUGCUGUCACACUAGCAGGUAAGAUCAGCUGAC
Molecule: long non-coding RNA, 730 nt
Filed under: Felis catus (domestic cat)
Lineage: Eukaryota; Metazoa; Chordata; Mammalia; Carnivora; Felidae
Description: lncRNA (ENSFCAG00000047964.1)
Source: RNAcentral